This 497-nucleotide ribosomal RNA is filed under the name uncultured bacterium. Its description in RNAcentral is "partial 16S ribosomal RNA". It matches the Rfam family "Bacterial small subunit ribosomal RNA", at positions 28 to 507 of the family's 1533-position model. The record is from RNAcentral.
GAUGAACGCUGGCGGCGUGCCUAAUACAUGCAAGUCGAGCGAACAGACGAGGAGCUUGCUCCUCUGACGUUAGCGGCGGACGGGUGAGUAACACGUGGAUAACCUACCUAUAAGACUGGGAUCACUUCGGGAAACCGGAGCUAAUACCGGAUAAUCUAUUGAACCGCAUGGUUCAAUAGUGAAAGACGGUUUUGCUGUCACUUAUAGAUGGAUCUGCGCCGCAUUAGCUAGUUGGUAAGGUAACGGCUUACCAAGGCAACGAUGCGUAGCCGACGUGAGAGGGUGAUCGGCCACACUGGAACGUAGACACGGUCCAUACUCCUACGGGAGGCAGCAGUAGGGAAUCUGCCGCAAUGGGCGGAAGCCUGACGGAGCAGCGCCGCGUGAGUGAUGGAAGUCUUCGGAUCGUAAAACUCUGUUAUUAGGGAUGAACAAAUGUGUAAGGAGCUAUGCACGUCUUGACGGUACCUAAUCAGAAAGCCACGGCUAACUACGUG